This 253-nucleotide ribosomal RNA is filed under the name uncultured bacterium. RNAcentral describes it as "partial 16S ribosomal RNA". It matches the Rfam family "Bacterial small subunit ribosomal RNA", at positions 524 to 776 of the family's 1533-position model. The record is from RNAcentral.
UACGUAGGGUGCAAGCGUUGUCCGGAAUUAUUGGGCGUAAAGAGCUCGUAGGCGGUUUGUCGCGUCUGCUGUGAAAACUCGGGGCUUAACUCCGGGCCUGCAGUGGGUACGGGCAGACUAGAGUGCGGUAGGGGAGACUGGAAUUCCUGGUGUAGCGGUGAAAUGCGCAGAGAUCGGGAGGAACACCCGUAGCGAAGGCGGCACUCUGGGCCGGUACUGACGCUGAGGAGCGAAAGCGUGGGGAGCAAACAGG